GACAGAGGAGGCAAGCGUUAUCCGGAAUUAUUGGGCGAAAAGCGUCCGUAGGUGGUUUGACAAGUCUGGGGUUAAAGCCUGGAGCCCAACUCCGGAUCGGCCCUGGAAACUGUCAGACUUGAGUAAGGUAGGGGUUGCGGGAAUUCCCGGUGUAGCGGUGAAAUGCGUAGAUAUCGGGAAGAACACCAGCGGCGAAAGCGCGCAACUGGGCCAUUACUGACACUGAGGGACGAAAGCUAGGGGAUCGAAUGGG
This 253-nucleotide ribosomal RNA is filed under the name uncultured bacterium. RNAcentral describes it as "partial 16S ribosomal RNA". It matches the Rfam family "Bacterial small subunit ribosomal RNA", at positions 524 to 776 of the family's 1533-position model. The record is from RNAcentral.